This is a non-coding RNA of Podarcis lilfordi (Lilford's wall lizard), 70 nucleotides long. The record is from the annotation of a GenBank genome assembly. Lineage: Eukaryota; Metazoa; Chordata; Lepidosauria; Squamata; Lacertidae.
CCAUGGCUCAGUGGUAGAGCACCUGCCUUUCAUGUAGAAGGCGGCGCGUUCAAUUCCUGGUAUCUCCAGG